GAUGAACGCUGGCGGCGUGCCUAAUACAUGCAAGUCGAGCGGCAGCACGGUCUUCGGACUGGUGGCGAGCGGCGGACGGCUGAGUAACGCGUAGGAAUAUACCCAAAGUGAGGGAUAACUGCCCGAAAGGGUGGCUAAUACCGCAUGUGGUCUUCGGACUAAAGCCUUCGGGCGCUUUGGGAAUAGCCUGCGUAAGAUUAGCUUGUUGGUGAGGUAAUGGCUCACCAAGGCGACGAUCUUUAGCUGGUCUGAGAGGAUGACCAGCCAGACUGGAACUGAGACACGGUCCAGACUCCUACGGGAGGCAGCAGUAGGGAAUUUUCCACAAUGGGCGAAAGCCUGAUGGAGCAACGCCGCGUGCAGGAUGAAGGCCCUCGGGUCGUAAACUGCUUUAUGUGCGAAGAAUAUGACGGUAACACAUGAAUAAGGGUCGGCUAACUACGUGCCAGCAGCCGCGGUAAU
RNAcentral lists this ribosomal RNA (462 nucleotides) under uncultured bacterium. RNAcentral describes it as "bacterial SSU rRNA". It matches the Rfam family "Bacterial small subunit ribosomal RNA", at positions 28 to 524 of the family's 1533-position model. The record is from RNAcentral.